This is a non-coding RNA of Schizosaccharomyces pombe (fission yeast), 543 nucleotides long. The record is from the annotation of a GenBank genome assembly. Lineage: Eukaryota; Fungi; Ascomycota; Schizosaccharomycetes; Schizosaccharomycetales; Schizosaccharomycetaceae.
GGUGAAAAAAAUUCAGAACAAUCAUUGUUAAAAGGUAGAGCGAUUUUUAAAUUCUUAGUCUUGCUUUAGUAAUUAUUGUAUUCGCUACAUAUUUAUAGUGCAAUUGCUGAAGCCAUUACUGCAGAAGGUAAUGCGUUGGAUUAAUUGAAGAUGAUUCGAUCAGCAAUGGAUGCUUAAGUUCAUAAUUCAUUGCACUAUAUCAGAAGUUCACAUGAUUAUUGAAAUUACAUUGACAUUACUUUGGAACGUGUAUAACAAAAUUUCCUAUCUCUUCUAGUUUACAUUGGAAACGCGAUAAACUGCCUGCUCUAUUUUACACUUUCAUCAUUCUCUAUUAACAAAUAAAGUAUCAUAUUUAGUACGAAAUGAAAUACAAACUUGAGAAUUUUAGGCAACAAAUACCUCUUAAUACCUAAUUACACGGCGCCUUACUUGAAAUAGAUUAAAGAAGAAAAAUAUAAUGAUUUUAUUUAUUGAAAUAACACGAAAAUGCCUAUUUACUGUUUACACUAGUUAUAGAAUCAAAUUUCCAUUCAACUCUAU